Molecule: ribosomal RNA, 468 nt
Filed under: uncultured bacterium
Lineage: Bacteria
Description: partial 16S ribosomal RNA
Rfam family: Bacterial small subunit ribosomal RNA
Source: RNAcentral
GACGAACGCUGGCGGCGUGCUUAACACAUGCAAGUCGAACGGAAAGGCCCUGCUAUUGUGGGGUGCUCGCGUGGCGCACGGGUGAGUAACACGUGAGUAACCUGCCGUUGACUUUGGGAUAACUUCAGGAAACUGGGGCUAAUACCGGAUAGGAGCUCCUGCUGCAUGGUGGGGGUUGGAAAGUUUGGGCGGGUGGGGAUGGACACGCGGCUUAACCGCUUGUUGGUGGGAUAGUGGCUUACCAAGGCUUUGACGGGUAGCCGGCCUGAGAGGGUGACCGGCCACCUGGGGACUGAGAUACGGCCCAGACUCCUACUGGAGGCAGCAGUGGGGAAUAUUGCCCAAUGGGCGGAAGCCUGAUGCAGCAACGCCGCGUUCGGGAUGACGGCCUUCGGGGUGUAAACCGCUUUCGCCUGUGACGAAGCGUGAGUGACGGUAAUGGGUAAAGAAGCACCGGCUAACUACGUG